RNAcentral lists this ribosomal RNA (460 nucleotides) under uncultured bacterium. Its description in RNAcentral is "partial 16S ribosomal RNA". It matches the Rfam family "Bacterial small subunit ribosomal RNA", at positions 338 to 795 of the family's 1533-position model. The record is from RNAcentral.
CCUACGGGAGGCAGCAGUGAGGAAUAUUGGUCAAUGGGCGCGAGCCUGAACCAGCCAAGUAGCGUGAAGGAUGAAUGCCCUACGGGUUGUAAACUUCUUUUAUAAAGGAAUAAAGUGAGGCACGUGUGCCUUAUUGUAUGUACUUUAUGAAUAAGGAUCGGCUAACUCCGUGCAAGCAGCCGCGGUAAUACGGAGGAACCGAGCGUUAUCCGGAUUUAUUGGGUUUAAAGGGAGCGUAGAUGGGUUGGUAAGUCAGUUGUGAAAGUUUGCGGCUCAACCGUAAAAUUGCAAUUGAUACUGGCAGCCUUGAGUACAGUUGAGGGAGGCGGAAUUCGUGGUGUAGCGGUGAAAUGCUUAGAGAUCACGAGGAACACCGAUUGCGAAGGCAGCCUACUAAACUGCCACUGACAUUGAUGCUCGAAAGUGUGGGUAUCAAACAGGAUUAGAUACCCUUGUAGUC